RNAcentral lists this ribosomal RNA (859 nucleotides) under Salmonella enterica. Its description in RNAcentral is "partial 23S ribosomal RNA". It matches the Rfam family "Bacterial large subunit ribosomal RNA", at positions 327 to 1190 of the family's 2925-position model. The record is from RNAcentral. Lineage: Bacteria; Pseudomonadati; Pseudomonadota; Gammaproteobacteria; Enterobacterales; Enterobacteriaceae.
UGUUAGUGGAAGCGUCUGGAAAGGCGCGCGAUACAGGGUGACAGCCCCGUACACAAAAGCGCAUGUGCUGUGAGCUCGAUGAGUAGGGCGGGACACGUGAUAUCCUGUCUGAAUAUGGGGGGACCAUCCUCCAAGGCUAAAUACUCCUGACUGACCGAUAGUGAACCAGUACCGUGAGGGAAAGGCGAAAAGAACCCCGGCGAGGGGAGUGAAAAAGAACCUGAAACCGUGUACGUACAAGCAGUGGGAGCACCCUUCGGGGUGUGACUGCGUACCUUUUGUAUAAUGGGUCAGCGACUUAUAUUCUGUAGCAAGGUUAACCGAAUAGGGGAGCCGGAGGGAAACCGAGUCUUAACCGGGCGUUAAGUUGCAGGGUAUAGACCCGAAACCCGGUGAUCUAGCCAUGGGCAGGUUGAAGGUUGGGUAACACUAACUGGAGGACCGAACCGACUAAUGUUGAAAAAUUAGCGGAUGACCUGUGGCUGGGGGUGAAAGGCCAAUCAAACCGGGAGAUAGCUGGUUCUCCCCGAAAGCUAUUUAGGUAGCGCCUCGUGAAUUCAUCUCCGGGGGUAGAGCACUGUUUCGGCUAGGGGGCCAUCCCGGCUUACCAACCCGAUGCAAACUGCGAAUACCGGAGAAUGUUAUCACGGGAGACACACGGCGGGUGCUAACGUCCGUCGUGAAGAGGGAAACAACCCAGACCGCCAGCUAAGGUCCCAAAGUCAUGGUUAAGUGGGAAACGAUGUGGGAAGGCCCAGACAGCCAGGAUGUUGGCUUAGAAGCAGCCAUCAUUUAAAGAAAGCGUAAUAGCUCACUGGUCGAGUCGGCCUGCGCGGAAGAUGUAACGGGGCUAAACCAU